GGCCCAGAGGCGCAAUGAAAGUGAAGGACGCCCCAGUCGGUGUCUGCGUUGGGAUCCCGGGGCCGCGAGUCCCGGGCGCACCAACGGCCCGUCCCGUCCGCCACGUCGGUGGGACGGAGCGAGAGCGUACACGUUGGGACCCGAAAGAUGGUGAACUAUGCCUGGGCAGGACGAGGCCAGAGGAAACUCUGGUGGAGGUCCGCAGCGAUUCUGACGUGCAAAUCGAUCGUCAGACCUUGGUAUAGGGGCGAAAGACUAAUCGAACCGUCUAGUAGCUG
RNAcentral lists this ribosomal RNA (278 nucleotides) under Centruroides limpidus. RNAcentral's name for it is "partial 28S ribosomal RNA". It matches the Rfam family "Eukaryotic large subunit ribosomal RNA", at positions 705 to 953 of the family's 3401-position model. The record is from RNAcentral. RNAcentral also lists the same sequence under 4 other names. Lineage: Eukaryota; Metazoa; Arthropoda; Arachnida; Scorpiones; Buthidae.